RNAcentral lists this ribosomal RNA (693 nucleotides) under Bradyrhizobium sp. RS-54. RNAcentral describes it as "bacterial SSU rRNA". It matches the Rfam family "Bacterial small subunit ribosomal RNA", at positions 21 to 758 of the family's 1533-position model. The record is from RNAcentral. Lineage: Bacteria; Pseudomonadati; Pseudomonadota; Alphaproteobacteria; Hyphomicrobiales; Nitrobacteraceae.
GGCUCAGAGCGAACGCUGGCGGCAGGCUUAACACAUGCAAGUCGAGCGGGCGUAGCAAUACGUCAGCGGCAGACGGGUGAGUAACGCGUGGGAACGUACCUUUUGGUUCGGAACAACUGAGGGAAACUUCAGCUAAUACCGGAUAAGCCCUUACGGGGAAAGAUUUAUCGCCGAAAGAUCGGCCCGCGUCUGAUUAGCUAGUUGGUGAGGUAAUGGCUCACCAAGGCGACGAUCAGUAGCUGGUCUGAGAGGAUGAUCAGCCACAUUGGGACUGAGACACGGCCCAAACUCCUACGGGAGGCAGCAGUGGGGAAUAUUGGACAAUGGGCGCAAGCCUGAUCCAGCCAUGCCGCGUGAGUGAUGAAGGCCCUAGGGUUGUAAAGCUCUUUUGUGCGGGAAGAUAAUGACGGUACCGCAAGAAUAAGCCCCGGCUAACUUCGUGCCAGCAGCCGCGGUAAUACGAAGGGGGCUAGCGUUGCUCGGAAUCACUGGGCGUAAAGGGUGCGUAGGCGGGUCUUUAAGUCAGGGGUGAAAUCCUGGAGCUCAACUCCAGAACUGCCUUUGAUACUGAAGAUCUUGAGUUCGGGAGAGGUGAGUGGAACUGCGAGUGUAGAGGUGAAAUUCGUAGAUAUUCGCAAGAACACCAGUGGCGAAGGCGGCUCACUGGCCCGAUACUGACGCUGAGGCACGAAA